UGCUCCUUGUGAAACAUAAAUAAGGAGUCGGACCUGCCCAGUGAAUAUUUUAACGGCCGCGGUACUCUGACCGUGCAAAGGUAGCAUAAUCAUUUGCCUUAUAAUUGAAGGCUUGUAUGAAUGGUUUGACAAGAAUAAAGCUGUCUCUUUACAAAUAAGUAUAAUUUUAUUUACAGGUGAAGAAGCCUGUAUUAUAUUGAAAGACAAGAAGACCCUAUCGAGCUUUAAAUAAACUAAUAAAAAGUAAAUUGUAUUUAUAUUGAGUUAGUUAUUAAAAAUUUUAGUUGGGGCGACUAAGGAACAAUCAAAGCUUCCUAAAAAAUUCUAAGUGCUUUCAAGUUGUGAUCCAAAAAUUUUGAUUAAAGGAAUUAGUUACCGUAGGGAUAACAGCAUUAUCUUUUUUAAGAGUUCAAAUCGAAAAAAAGGUUUGUGACCUCGAUGUUGGACCAGAAUAUCCUGAAGAUGCAGCCGUCUUCAAGGGUUGGUCUGUUCGACCAUUAAAAUUCUACGUGAUCUGAGUUCAGACCGGCGUGAGCCAGGUCAGUUUCUAUCUUCAAUUUUUAAUGUGGACCUAGUACGAAAGGAUUGGUCUAUAAUAAUAAUUGUUUUUCCUGAUGUAGUAUAAAAACUUAUUAAGUUAUUAGGUAGAAGAAAUCAAAUUAGCAAAGAUAAUGCAAUUGACUUAGGAUCAAUAGACAUAGGUGAAAUUCCUUUAUUUGAUAUAAAUAUAAAGGUGGCAGAUUAA
The sequence is a ribosomal RNA, 745 nucleotides long. The stretch from base 1 to 593 matches the Rfam family "Bacterial large subunit ribosomal RNA", at positions 1817 to 2925 of the family's 2925-position model.